Molecule: ribosomal RNA, 580 nt
Filed under: uncultured bacterium
Lineage: Bacteria
Description: partial 16S ribosomal RNA
Rfam family: Bacterial small subunit ribosomal RNA
Source: RNAcentral
UGGGGAAUUUUGGACAAUGGGCGAAAGCCUGAUCCAGCAAUGCCGCGUGUGUGAAGAAGGCCUUCGGGUUGUAAAGCACUUUUGUCCGGAAAGAAAUCCUUGGCUCUAAUACAGUCGGGGGAUGACGGUACCGGAAGAAUAAGCACCGGCUAACUACGUGCCAGCAGCCGCGGUAAUACGUAGGGUGCAAGCGUUAAUCGGAAUUACUGGGCGUAAAGCGUGCGCAGGCGGUUUGCUAAGACCGAUGUGAAAUCCCCGGGCUCAACCUGGGAACUGCAUUGGUGACUGGCAGGCUAGAGUAUGGCAGAGGGGGGUAGAAUUCCACGUGUAGCAGUGAAAUGCGUAGAGAUGUGGAGGAAUACCGAUGGCGAAGGCAGCCCCCUGGGCCAAUACUGACGCUCAUGCACGAAAGCGUGGGGAGCAAACAGGAUUAGAUACCCUGGUAGUCCACGCCCUAAACGAUGUCAACUAGUUGUUGGGGAUUCAUUUUCCUUAGUAACGUAGCUAACGCGUGAAGUUGACCGCCUGGGGAGUACGGUCGCAAGAUUAAAACUCAAAUGAAUUGACGGGGUCAUAGCUG